RNAcentral lists this ribosomal RNA (498 nucleotides) under uncultured archaeon. RNAcentral's name for it is "bacterial SSU rRNA". It matches the Rfam family "Archaeal small subunit ribosomal RNA", at positions 425 to 923 of the family's 1478-position model. The record is from RNAcentral.
ACGCUGGGGAAUAAGGAGAGGGCAAGUCUGGUGUCAGCCGCCGCGGUAAUACCAGCUCUCCGAGUGGUGUGGAUGUUUAUUGGGCCUAAAGCAUCCGUAGCUGGCUAAGUUAGUCCCUUGUUAAAUCCACCGAAUUAAUCGUUGGAUCGCGGGGGAUACUGCUUGGCUAGGGGACGAGAGAGGCAGACGGUAUUUUCGGGGUAGGGGUGAAAUCCUAUAAUCCCGGGAAGACCACCAGUGGCGAAGGCUGUUUGCUAGAACGCGCCCGACGGUGAGGGAUGAAAGCUGGGGGAGCGAACCGGAUUAGAUACCCGGGUAGUCCCAGCUGUAAACGAUGCAGGCUAGGUGUUUGGACGGCCACGUGCCGUUCUAGUGCCGCAGGGAAGCUGUUAAGCCUGCCGCCUGGGGAGUACGAUCGCAAGAUUGAAACUUAAAGGAAUUGGCGGGGGAGCACCACAAGGGGUGAAGCUUGCGGUUUAAUUGGAUUCAACGCCGGGA